RNAcentral lists this ribosomal RNA (272 nucleotides) under uncultured bacterium. RNAcentral describes it as "partial 16S ribosomal RNA". It matches the Rfam family "Bacterial small subunit ribosomal RNA", at positions 524 to 793 of the family's 1533-position model. The record is from RNAcentral.
UACGAAGGGGGCUAGCGUUGCUCGGAAUCACUGGGCGUAAAGCGCACGUAGGCGGAUCUUUAAGUCAGGGGUGAAAUCCUGGAGCUCAACUCCAGAACUGCCUUUGAUACUGGGGAUCUCGAGUCCGGAAGAGGUGAGUGGAACUCCGAGUGUAGAGGUGAAAUUCGUAGAUAUUCGGAAGAACACCAGUGGCGAAGGCGGCUCACUGGCCGGUACUGACGCUGAGGUGCGAAAAGCGUGGGGAGCAAACAGGGAUUAAGAAACCCCGGUGA